RNAcentral lists this ribosomal RNA (430 nucleotides) under Bacillota bacterium. RNAcentral describes it as "Firmicutes bacterium partial 16S ribosomal RNA". It matches the Rfam family "Bacterial small subunit ribosomal RNA", at positions 355 to 776 of the family's 1533-position model. The record is from RNAcentral. RNAcentral also lists the same sequence under 1 other name. Lineage: Bacteria; Bacillati; Bacillota.
UGGGGAAUAUUGGACAAUGGGGGGAACCCUGAUCCAGCCAUGCCGCGUGUGUGAAGAAGGCCUUAUGGUUGUAAAGCACUUUAAGCGAGGAGGAGGCUCUCUUGGUUAAUACCCAAGAAGAGUGGACGUUACUCGCAGAAUAAGCACCGGCUAACUCUGUGCCAGCAGCCGCGGUAAUACAGAGGGUGCGAGCGUUAAUCGGAUUUACUGGGCGUAAAGCGUGCGUAGGCGGCUUUUUAAGUCGGAUGUGAAAUCCCCGAGCUUAACUUGGGAAUUGCAUUCGAUACUGAGAAGCUAGAGUAUGGGAGAGGAUGGUAGAAUUCCAGGUGUAGCGGUGAAAUGCGUAGAGAUCUGGAGGAAUACCGAUGGCGAAGGCAGCCAUCUGGCCUAAUACUGACGCUGAUGUACGAAAGCAUGGGGAGCAAACAGG